Non-coding RNA from Gossypium hirsutum (cotton), 134 nucleotides. Lineage: Eukaryota; Viridiplantae; Streptophyta; Magnoliopsida; Malvales; Malvaceae. The record is from Rfam.
UAUUAAAAAUUUCAUUCAUUUCUACUGUUAAAAAUUGUUAUGGCUCACAAAAUAACCAAAUAGUGACACGUGGUACCUCAUGCUGACGUACAAGGACCAAUUUUUAAUGGUAGAAAUGGAUGAAAUUUUUAACA